GACGAACGCUGGCGGCGUGCUUAACACAUGCAAGUCGAACGGAAAGGCCCUGCUUUUGUGGGGUGCUCGAGUGGCGAACGGGUGAGUAACACGUGAGUAACCUGCCCUUGACUUUGGGAUAACUUCAGGAAACUGGGGCUAAUACCGGAUAGGAGCUCCUGCUGCAUGGUGGGGGUUGGAAAGUUUCGGCGGUUGGGGAUGGACUCGCGGCUUAUCAGCUUGUUGGUGGGGUAGUGGCUUACCAAGGCUUUGACGGGGAGCCGGCCUGAGAGGGUGACCGGCCACAUUGGGACUGAGAGACGGCACAGGCGCAUACGGGGGGAAGGGGUGGGGAAUAUUGCAGAAUGGGCGGAAGACUGAUGAAGGAACGCGGCGUGCGGGAUGACGGCCUUCGGGUUGAAAACCGCUUUCGGCUGUGACGAAGCGUGAGUGACGGUAAUGGGAAAAGAAGAACGGGCUAACCACG
RNAcentral lists this ribosomal RNA (466 nucleotides) under uncultured bacterium. RNAcentral's name for it is "partial 16S ribosomal RNA". It matches the Rfam family "Bacterial small subunit ribosomal RNA", at positions 28 to 505 of the family's 1533-position model. The record is from RNAcentral.